This 300-nucleotide unclassified non-coding RNA is filed under the name uncultured fungus. RNAcentral describes it as "sequence contains 5.8S rRNA gene, ITS2". The stretch from base 1 to 72 matches the Rfam family "5.8S ribosomal RNA", at positions 84 to 154 of the family's 154-position model. Lineage: Eukaryota; Fungi. The record is from RNAcentral.
GUGAAUCAUCGAAUCUUUGAACGCACCCUGCACCUUUUGGCUCGUCCGGAAGGUCUGCCUGUUUGAGUAGAUGAAAUAAGCAUCAAGUGGCAAACUGCCGUCGAACAGUAGCCAGCUUGGGUUUGAGCUUUCCGGUGUCCGCUGCAUCUGCAGUAACCCUGGUGGCUUUAAAUGCAUGAUUUCGGAGCGAGCGUGCCUGGUGGCGCGAACGGUGUUUUAGUCAGGUCAGCGAUGACCGGUCAAGCACGCCAGUAGCGGCACUCUAAAGGUGCGCCUGCUUCCGACUAUUGGGGCAGAGGU